Molecule: ribosomal RNA, 428 nt
Filed under: uncultured bacterium
Lineage: Bacteria
Description: partial 16S ribosomal RNA
Rfam family: Bacterial small subunit ribosomal RNA
Source: RNAcentral
GUGGGGAAUAUUGGGCAAUGGGCGCAAGCCUGACCCAGCAACGCCGCGUGAAGGAAGAAGGCCCUCGGGUUGUAAACCUCUUUUAUGAAGGACGAAGGAAGUGACGGUACUUCAUGAAUAAGCCACGGCUAACUACGUGCCAGCAGCCGCGGUAAUACGUAGGUGGCAAGCGUUAUCCGGAUUUACUGGGUGUAAAGGGCGUGUAGGCGGGACAGCAAGUAAGGUGUGAAAUUCCAGGGGUCAACCCUGGAACUGAAUUUGCAACUGUUGUUCUUGAGUGAUGGAGAGGCAGGCGGAAUUCCGUGUGUAGCGGUGAAAUGCGUAGAUAUACGGAGGAACACCAGUGGCGAAGGCGGCCUGCUGGACAUUAACUGACGCUGAGGCGCGAAAGCGUGGGGAGCAAACAGGAUUAGAAACCCUUGUAGUCC